AAACAUGUUCUUCUCUUUUAAUAUAAGAUAAAACCUGCUCUGUGAUUAUUAUGAUUUUAGCAGCCGCAGUAAAUUGUGCCAAGGUAGCAUAAUCAUUUGUCUUUUAAUUGAAGUCUGGAAUGAAAGGUUAAAAUUGAUUAAUAAGCUUUAAAAUUUUAAAUAAAAAAAUUUUAAUUUUAAGUAAAAAUGCUUAAGUUAUUUAAAGGGACGAGAAGACCCUAAAAUUUUUAAAUUUUAGUUUCAUUUAAAAUUAAAAUUUUUAGUUGGGGCAAUUAACUUAUAAAACUUUUUUUUUAAAAACACUAUAAGUGAAAAUAAAAGAAAAAAUUUUUAACUUAAAUCAUAAUUACUUUAGGGAUAACAGCGCAAUAAUGAGUAAGGAGAUCAGUUUUGAAUUCAUGAUUGCGACCUCGAUGUUGAAUUAAGCUAGCUUAAAGAGUAAAAGCUUUAAGGUUCUAGUCUGUUCGACUAUAAAGGCUUACGUGAU
This 487-nucleotide ribosomal RNA is filed under the name Liposcelis bostrychophila. RNAcentral's name for it is "partial 16S ribosomal RNA". The record is from RNAcentral. Lineage: Eukaryota; Metazoa; Arthropoda; Insecta; Psocodea; Liposcelididae.